RNAcentral lists this small nuclear RNA (164 nucleotides) under Erpetoichthys calabaricus (reedfish). RNAcentral describes it as "U1 spliceosomal RNA (ENSECRG00000011717.1)". It matches the Rfam family "U1 spliceosomal RNA". From Rfam's summary of the family: U1 is a small nuclear RNA (snRNA) component of the spliceosome (involved in pre-mRNA splicing). Its 5' end forms complementary base pairs with the 5' splice junction, thus defining the 5' donor site of an intron. The record is from RNAcentral. Lineage: Eukaryota; Metazoa; Chordata; Cladistia; Polypteriformes; Polypteridae.
CUACCUACUUGUUAGGGCGGAGUGGUGGCUCUGAGUUGGUCCUCCCAGGUCGAGGGUCAUACAUUACAUUCUGGGAUACGCCAAGCCCUGCAAUUUCCCCAAAUGUGGGGAACUCAGCUGCAUAAUUUGUGGUAGUGGGGGGACUAUGUUUGCGCUCCCUCCUG